AAUCCAUAGGUUAAUGAGGCGAACCGGGGGAACUGAAACAUCUAAGUACCCCGAGGAAAAGAAAUCAACCGAGAUUCCCCCAGUAGCGGCGAGCGAACGGGGAGGAGCCCAGAGCCUGAAUCAGCAUGUGUGUUAGUGGAAGCGUCUGGAAAGGCGCGCGAUACAGGGUGACAGCCCCGUACACAAAAGCGCAUGUGCUGUGAGCUCGAUGAGUAGGGCGGGACACGUGGUAUCCUGUCUGAAUAUGGGGGGACCAUCCUCCAAGGCUAAAUACUCCUGACUGACCGAUAGUGAACCAGUACCGUGAGGGAAAGGCGAAAAGAACCCCGGCGAGGGGAGUGAAAAAGAACCUGAAACCGUGUACGUACAAGCAGUGGGAGCCCCACCACCAAAGCAUUUGCUGUACCGCGUUGACGGAGCGAAGCGACGUCAAACCGAUAAAACAGCAGUGUAAAGUGAGCCGCAGGGCGCUUUGCGCGACAGCGCAAAGGCAGGCGGUUUCGCGUAGCGAAAGCGAAUGCUUUGGGGUGGGGUGACUGCGUACCUUUUGUAUAAUGGGUCAGCGACUUAUAUUCUGUAGCAAGGUUAACCGAAUAGGGGAGCCGGAGGGAAACCGAGUCUUAAUUGGGCGUUAAGUUGCAGGGUAUAGACCCGAAACCCGGUGAUCUAGCCAUGGGCAGGUUGAAGGGUGGGUAACACUAACUGGAGGACCGAACCGACUAAUGUUGAAAAAUUAGCGGAUGACCUGUGGCUGGGGGUGAAAGGCCAAUCAAACCGGGAGAUAGCUGGUUCUCCCCGAAAGCUAUUUAGGUAGCGCCUCGUGAAUUCAUCUCCGGGGGUAGAGCACUGUUUCGGCUAGGGGGCCAUCCCGGCUUACCAACCCGAUGCAAACUGCGAAUACCGGAGAAUGUUAUCACGGGAGACACACGGCGGGUGCUAACGUCCGUCGUGAAGAGGGAAACAACCCAGACCGCCAGCUAAGGUCCCAAAGUCAUGGUUAAGUGGGAAACGAUGUGGGAAGGCCCAGACAGCCAGGAUGUUGGCUUAGAAGCAGCCAUCAUUUAAAGAAAGCGUAAUAGCUCACUGGUCGAGUCGGCCUGCGCGGAAGAUGUAACGGGGCUAAACCAUGCACCGAAGCUGCGGCAGCGACACUGUG
Molecule: ribosomal RNA, 1156 nt
Filed under: Salmonella enterica subsp. enterica serovar Enteritidis
Lineage: Bacteria; Pseudomonadati; Pseudomonadota; Gammaproteobacteria; Enterobacterales; Enterobacteriaceae
Description: partial 23S ribosomal RNA
Rfam family: Bacterial large subunit ribosomal RNA
Source: RNAcentral